AACUAACGCUGGCGGCGUGCCCAACACAUGCAAGUCGAACGAGAAAGCCGCAAGGUGAGUAAAGUGGCGGACGGGUGCGUAACACGUGGGUAAUCUACCUAUUGGCUUGGGAUAACAGUCCGAAAGGAUUGCUAAUACCGGAUAAGACCACAGCCCUGCGGGGUGGUGGGAAAAGGUGCUCGCAAGGGUGCCACUGAUUGAUGAGCCCGCGGCCUAUCAGCUAGUUGGCGGGGUAAUGGCCCACCCAAGGCUACGACGGGUAACUGGUCUGAGAGGACGACCAGUCACACUGGAACUGAGACACGGUCCAGACUCCUGCGGGAGGCAGCAGUGGGGAAUAUUGCGCAAUGGACGAAAGUACUGACGCAGCAACGCCGCGUGGGUGAUGAAGGCC
Molecule: ribosomal RNA, 394 nt
Filed under: uncultured bacterium
Lineage: Bacteria
Description: bacterial SSU rRNA
Rfam family: Bacterial small subunit ribosomal RNA
Source: RNAcentral